RNAcentral lists this long non-coding RNA (578 nucleotides) under Zonotrichia albicollis (white-throated sparrow). RNAcentral describes it as "lncRNA (ENSZALG00000005577.1)". The record is from RNAcentral. Lineage: Eukaryota; Metazoa; Chordata; Aves; Passeriformes; Passerellidae.
GGGAAAACCCGGGCGGGGGCGGUCUCUGCUUCUUUCCAGCUGGAGAAGCGCUUUUUGGUUCGGAGUGCGUGUGUGUGUCUGUGUGUCUGUGUGUCUGUGUGUCUGUCUCUGUGUGUGUGUCUGUGGGGGGUUUGUAGGUGUUCCGGCUGGGGCUCCGAAUUUUCGUCUGCAGACUCUACUUUUUCUGAAGACCUACAUGAUUUCUUCCCCUAGAAGAAGUUUGUUAAUACGACAUGUCAACGUUGCUGGUUUCAGACUGCAGCACUUUUUUACAAAACCAGACUGAAAAAAUUUCCUCAAACCUCCACUUAAUGGCACAACUGGCAUAUUCUGAAUCUUCUUUGAAGAAGGAACAGGAGGCUAUGAGAAGGAGAAUCUUUUCCCAGGCUAUGAGUCACACUAAGAUCAUUGUCUUCUUUCAUUCAAGAGAAAUUCAGCACUGGUUUCUGAAAUGGGAACAGAGGAAUCAAAUGUCUGUACGUCUCUCAAGGAGAAGGGGACUAUCCAGUCACUGCUUCACAAAAGACAUGUUGCCAUCCAUAUGUAGAAGCCAGUUGCUGGCCCUGAAGAUUUACUAA